GGACCCUGACUGCAGGAGUCAGGCCUCUCAGCCCAGGGCAGAUGCUGCCUUUAUCUUCUAUCAUUUGUAUGACGUGGCUGGAUGGAGUUUCUUUUGUAAGGUGCACAACACAUUCUUGACAAAUGUGAGUCUCCUGAUCAAUUUAAAUGUUUGAGAUUGAAUAUCUAAUUAAUAAUUCAAUUUUGAAAAUUCUCAAAAAAAUUUGAGGAUUUAAGCCUAGGGAUUUUAUUUUUAUAAAUACCAAAUCAUCAUUAGACUAAUCACUGGUGGAAAUUAAAUAUGGCAGUUAUGUUAGGUUUCCUAAUAUUUCAAAGGUUCCAAAGGAUCUAGAGCUCUCUAGUUACAUAGCAUUCAUAUAGGAAUGAGCAGAGACAUCUGAGAAGAGUGGGAGCUCAUGGGUGACAGUAAAACUUAGGUGUCUCAGAACUUAACAUUUAGUAAAGUGAUGUAGAUCCAAUGUCAGGAAAGGAAGGACUGUGUUACUGUGCCUCCUCUGACUCAUGUGCUUUUCAGCAUAAUAGACUUAUUUAAUAUUAAUUCCUAAACUUUGCACUGUCAAUCCUCUGCUGAGUUGUGGGAGGCAGACCUCAGUUUGCUUGUUUUUUGUGAAAGCUAACUUUAUGAUUUCAAGCACACUUUCUACAUGAGAAACCCCUAAUGUGUGUCCAUAUGAUCUUUCUGUACAUUCUAUUCUCUUACAAAUCUGUGCAUCAGGAAAAUAUGCAUACUUUCAAAUAGAACAGAGGUAUUUGCAACCUGAAAAACCACUUUUAAUAAGAGCUGUAUGAUAAAUUGUUGAAAUGCAAGUGUAAAUAUUUUUUAUGUUAAUCCAGUUUCCUAUUAGAAAGUGUGUCUUUGCUAUUUCCUCUGUAAGAGAAUAGAAUGGCCUUGAGAGUUUAUGAAGGAUUUGCACACUCGUCUUGCCUAGGAAGUGCAAUCUCCUUGUGACUGGAGCACACUGGCAGCCUUCAGGUGUCAUAAUCAUACAUCCCAGAGAAGAGCAGUCACCUGCUGUCACUAGUGCAUGGGAAGACAGAUGCACAGAAGAGCCAGGUAGCACCUGAAAACGCUGCACGUGUGUUUGUGAAACCUGUAGUGAAGUAGACUUGGCCGUCCCUGGACAGUGAGGUCAGAUGUGAAUACAUAUUGUAAGAGCACGUUGAAUAGUGUGCAUUACUGUGGGGAAACACCGAAACUGCUGUUGUUUUUCAUUUCUACUGUAUUUUAGUUGCAGCCUAUUUUUAAUAAACUUUGUAUCUAUUUAAGUGUAUUUGCUAUUGUUUUCAAAGUGCUGACAAAGUUUAUAUUUGUAAUGCCAGCAUUCCUCUUCCCCAUUUCCAGCUGUCACUCCUUCAUUAAACUGCUGAGUCAU
Molecule: long non-coding RNA, 1372 nt
Filed under: Mus musculus (house mouse)
Lineage: Eukaryota; Metazoa; Chordata; Mammalia; Rodentia; Muridae
Description: long non-coding RNA chr17:13904420-13905792
Source: RNAcentral